AGCAUUCGUCUUCUGGUUACGGGGCCAUAGCUCAGCUGGGAGAGCGCGUGCUUUGCAAGCAUGAGGUCGUCGGUUCGAUCCCGUCUGGCUCCACCAGAUGGUUUGAUCACCAACGGCGCAACCGUCGUCCGCGAAACAUCACUUCGCACUCAUUGGUCCGGAUGGACGGUGACGUGCGUGUUUUCUGACAUCGUAAAGAGGAGAUCGAUCCGAGUUUGGAUCAAGCGAAGCAAUUCGCCUGAGCCAUUCAUUAUCUCCGGGAUCAUUUCGGCGCUCGCGCAUCGCAACUCAUCGCAAGAUGAGUGAGAUGAGCGGGUUGUAAAUGAUCUCUUUUAGCGAAGCUUGACCGCCUCGCUAUCGGGCCGAUCUUACGAAGCAAGCUGGUCUUUCUAGUCAAUGUCCUUCUGUGCAAUCGCAUUCAUCGAGGAUGCGCGCCUGAGACUUCGGUCUUUGGGCAGUUACACAGACAACAUUCUGCCGAGUGUGUGGACAUUGAUAAUGAGAGCAAUCAAGUGCCUUAAGGGUGUUCGGUGGAUGCCUUGGCGCUGAGAGGCGAUGAAGGACGUGCUACGCUGCGAUAAGCCGU
This 586-nucleotide unclassified non-coding RNA is filed under the name Bradyrhizobium sp. ORS 162. RNAcentral describes it as "partial 16S-23S ribosomal RNA intergenic spacer". The stretch from base 21 to 93 matches the Rfam family "tRNA". Lineage: Bacteria; Pseudomonadati; Pseudomonadota; Alphaproteobacteria; Hyphomicrobiales; Nitrobacteraceae. The record is from RNAcentral. RNAcentral also lists the same sequence under 1 other name.